AACGAACGCUGGCGGCAUGCCUAGCACAUGCAAGUCGAACGAGACCUUCGGGUCUAGUGGCGCACGGGUGCGUAACGCGUGGGAACCUGCCCUUAGGUUCGGAAUAACUCCCCGAAAGGGGUGCUAAUACCGGAUAAUGUCUUCGGACCAAAGAUUUAUCGCCUUUGGAUGGGCCCGCGUUGGAUUAGCUAGUUGGUAGGGUAAAAGCCUACCAAGGCGACGAUCCAUAGCUGGUCUGAGAGGAUGAUCAGCCACACUGGGACUGAGACACGGCCCAGACUCCUACGGGAGGCAGCAGUGGGGAAUAUUGGACAAUGGGCGAAAGCCUGAUCCAGCAAUGCCGCGUGAGUGAUGAAGGCCUUAGGGUUGUAAAGCUCUUUUACCCGGGAUGGUAAUGACAGUACCGGGAGAAUAAGCUCCGGCUAACUCCGUG
Molecule: ribosomal RNA, 433 nt
Filed under: uncultured bacterium
Lineage: Bacteria
Description: partial 16S ribosomal RNA
Rfam family: Bacterial small subunit ribosomal RNA
Source: RNAcentral